RNAcentral lists this non-coding RNA (48 nucleotides) under unclassified sequences. RNAcentral describes it as "chromate-resist RNA". It matches the Rfam family "chrB-b RNA". The record is from RNAcentral.
UGGGGACGUAGCAGACUCCCCUUUAGACGAUUCUCGUCCAAGUGCUGC